RNAcentral lists this ribosomal RNA (468 nucleotides) under uncultured bacterium. Its description in RNAcentral is "partial 16S ribosomal RNA". It matches the Rfam family "Bacterial small subunit ribosomal RNA", at positions 28 to 507 of the family's 1533-position model. The record is from RNAcentral.
GACGAACGCUGGCGGCGUGCUUAACACAUGCAAGUCGAACGGAAAGGCUCUGCUUUUGUGGGGUGCUCGAGUGGCGAACGGGUGAGUAACACGUGAGUAACCUGCCCUUGACUUUGGGAUAACUUCAGGAAACUGGGGCUAAUACCGGAUAGGAGCUCCUGCUGCAUGGCGGGGGUUGGAAAGUUUCGGCGGUUGGGGAUGGACUCGCGGCUUAUCAGCUUGUUGGUGGGGUAGUGGCUUACCAAGGCUUUGACGGGUAGCCGGCCUGAGAGGGUGACCGGCCACAUUGGGACUGAGAUACGGCCCAGACUCCUACGGGAGGCAGCAGUGGGGAAUAUUGCACAAUGGGCGGAAGCCUGAUGCAGCAACGCCGCGUGCGGGAUGACGGCCUUCGGGUUGUAAACCGCUUUCGCCUGUGACGAAGCGUGAGUGACGGUAAUGGGUAAAGAAGCACCGGCUAACUACGUG